UUUUAGUGGGAGUUGGAGUGACACCCAUAGGAAACUGAAUACAUGGAUAAAACAUGCAAUACGUUAGACUUUAGUAAAUGCACAGGGAAAGCUCCCAUUUCAAAUUAGUUGGU
Long non-coding RNA from Sapajus apella (tufted capuchin), 113 nucleotides. RefSeq lists it as uncharacterized. The transcript has 2 exons. The record is from RefSeq and is a predicted model, not a curated record. Lineage: Eukaryota; Metazoa; Chordata; Mammalia; Primates; Cebidae.